AUGAGACAUUUGGGCAUUGAAUGCGGGAAGAAUAAGGAGGGAGGCUUGGGCAGCUCUCUUUGGGGAGAUCCCGUGUUCCAGAACAUCCCGACUGCACCUGCCGGUGAUGGCUCCCCAGGGCUGCCGAGCUCCGUCGCACUGGAGGGAGGGUCACAUCCAAUCUGUGUGCUUCAUGACCCCCUCUUUGUUGCCCUGUAUUUGCCUCCACUACAGACUCUGAGUUCGUUGGCCCACAGUUUCAGGGCUGCUGAAACAGGCCAAGUUGGACUGGGAGCACCCAGUUGCUUUUUGGAUGAUCGCUGGCGUCCUUUUCCUUUGAUUUCUUUGAUACUCCUCACCCUGGCGCUGGGCGUCGCGCUUCCCGGGUUCUUAGUUAAUUGGAGGAUUUUCGUUUUCUCCGAGGUGGUUGACCUUUCCGCCAGCCCUGCUGAUGACCAGCAAUUAUUAACCAAUGUCGCAGAAUGGGGAUGGGGAACGGGAACAAGUACCUGGACCCAUUUUGCGGAAAGGACCCCAACGUGCAGCAUGUUCCAGUGGCUCGUCUCGCCACAGGAAGCUAAUACACAGCCGCCAGGUUCUUGCCUGGAAGCCACCCAAUGCAGUAAGAGACCCACUCGUCCACAGAAGUAGAUUUCGAAGGAUCAUCUGCCCUGCAGCUGUCAAAGAACUGAACUUGAGGUGGAGUCAGCCUCGAGGCCUUCCUCAGAAGGCGUUGGAGGGCUUGCCGUCCUGCAGAGUCAUGUCCUCAGGGAGGUCCUCUCUUCAUUCCAGUUUCUGGGGCUGGAUGCCGGCGUCUUCCAGCACCGGCCACAGAGCGUCGUGCACCUGAAGACAAGAAUCAGAGGGAGUUUUCCUCCGCCUCCUGCUUCAGGCGCUGCCACUUGCGCUGCGCUUCUGGGGCUAAACGCCGGCUUUCUGGCGCGUGACCUACACCUCGGAACCAUUGACCAUGGAGCUGAGGGGAGAUGCGUACAGUGUGUCCUGAGUCAUGUGAGCGAGUUCCAGCGCACCACUGCAUCUGACCUUGAAGUCCAAGUUCAUCCGUGGUGCACCAUGUGGCCACCCUGGAAAAAAGCAAGCAGACCUCUCUAAGGAACUCCACUGCCUAGAUACCACGUACCCAUAAUCCUUGGUAUACUUGGCCUUGGCUGAUACCUCCAUCCCCCAGAACCAUUUGGGUUUGCAUCAGACCUUUUGGAUUACAGAAUUUUUCUCCUAAGACGAUCAUUCUUAUUUGACUUGACAGAAAAAGUUGUUUUCCGAGGAGUCUUCUCUCCAUGUUACCCUUUGAGAUGACUGCCUGGAUGGCACAGGUGCUGUGCUUGGCCUGUGAACCAAGAAGAUGUGUUCUGCCCUACAGAAGCUGGUGACCCAGAGGAAGAAGAGACAAGUAAGUGAGAAAUUUUAAGAAUUACCAAGGAAUACUGCACGUGGGAUUAAAUAGUGUGCUACAGGAGCAUACAAAUAGGAGAAAUGGCCGCUGGAAGAGGGAAAACACUUCUGGAGGUAAAGCCAUCUGAGCUACAACAGGAAGCUGUACCAGACGCCCACCAUGUCACGGGCACUGAUUAGGCUCUGGACAUGUAAGGGUGAACAGAGCCUGGUCUGAAGGAUGAGGUAGAGUGUAGUCCGACAAGGGAUAGAGAGAAUGACCUGAGCUAUUUCAGUAGGUUGGUGACGUUCAGUGGGGUGUGUGGGCCAUCGUGGUGGACAUGAUGUCUGGGCCGUUGAUUGUGGGCAAGUGCAUGGCAGUUUGGGGAUGUUCUGAGAGGGAACAGCAUCAGCAAGGCCGUUGGGAAAAAGUGGACCUCCAGUGCGGGUGUGUAUACUUCAGUGUGAUGGGAGUGCUUAGCUUGGAGCUGGGGGCAGUGGUAUAUGAGAAAUGCUUAGUGUGGCAAUUGUGGUGAGCCAGAUAGUUUUGGUGAAUCACCAGGCGAUUUGAUCACAUUGUGCUCAUUAAGGAUCACCCCAACAGCAGGAUGGUGAAAGGACUUGAAACCCACUUUGGCAUCAUUGAUACCCCAGGGGUGCCCGCACGCCUCAUGCUCUCUUCUCUCCGCCAGUGUUCCGGGAAGGGAGCAACACGGAUUCAAAACCCAGAGAGGGAGCACUGGGAGCAGAACGACCUGUUACCCGGUUUCCCCUGUAGACAGAGGGCUUUGGUGCGGAUUUAUCCGUCCGCAUUUAGGACCGAUGAUAGAAUCAUUGCUUUGUUUUAUCCCUUCCAUGACACAAACCAAGAAAAAAAAAAA
RNAcentral lists this long non-coding RNA (2252 nucleotides) under Sus scrofa (pig). RNAcentral describes it as "lncRNA (ENSSSCG00030059159.1)". Lineage: Eukaryota; Metazoa; Chordata; Mammalia; Artiodactyla; Suidae. The record is from RNAcentral.